This is a long non-coding RNA of Pteropus alecto (black flying fox), 916 nucleotides long. RefSeq lists it as uncharacterized. The record is from RefSeq and is a predicted model, not a curated record. The transcript has 2 exons. NCBI's taxonomy places the organism in Eukaryota, Metazoa, Chordata, Mammalia, Chiroptera, Pteropodidae.
GCAGGAGUGUUACAUUGUUUGCAGAAGAUGAAAAGAGUCUGUGAGACGUUUCUGCUGUUACCUGAUUACUCUAUUAAGGUUCAUUGUUUUCACUGUUGAAGAGGAGAAAGCUGUUUGACUUUUGUCAAUUGGCAGCCCCAAGUCCUACCUCUCGCCCGUGACACUCAGAGGGCUGGAUGUCUGAUUUCAUGAAGAUGAUGGCCAGCAGCCUUGUCCAUGAGUCGACUGUCUUCUCCUAUAGGAAUGAACUUCUAUUCUGGUCUCUAGAGAAAACGAAUCCCUUGGAAAUUUUUCAUAUGGAGGAUACUUCAAGAAGAACCUAACCUUCUGAGGCUGCUCAGUCAGUACAAAAGCAAAUCCUUCUAAGACUCCUUCACUACAGAUUGCUUUUGCCUGUUUUUGAACUUGAAAUUAAUGGAUUCAUAUAGAUGUAUUCUUUCUUGGCUCAAAGUAGUAUUUGCGAAAUUUAGUCAUAUUAUUUCGUGUUACAGUGAACCAAAAAACAUGCACCGGUGACAACAGGAACCUGGUCUCAGUGGCAGGACUGCAAAUAAGAAACAGUGAUUCCCAUAGCUGUUUUCUGGCCCCUUCUGCAAAGCCAGCACCUGCUCCAUUUUUAAAAAUUAUGAUUAUAAAAGUCAUACAUACUUAUUUAAAAAACAAAAGUUCAAGUAUAGAAAGGUAAAGAGUACAAAUCCCUUUCCUCUUGCAUAAUUCAUACAGACCCACUUCCCAGUAAUAAUCAGUGUUACUAUUACUAAUAAUAGGUAACAUUUAUUGAGCAGUGACUAUAUGUAAAGCAUUUUUCGAUUUUAUCACUUUUGUUUUAUUAAGGUUUGUCGCUUAAGAUUUGUCCCAACAGUUUGUAGGCAUAUACACACAUCUCUUUCAUCUUAAAUAAAGUAUUAUGUCCUCA